This 490-nucleotide ribosomal RNA is filed under the name uncultured bacterium. Its description in RNAcentral is "partial 16S ribosomal RNA". It matches the Rfam family "Bacterial small subunit ribosomal RNA", at positions 29 to 507 of the family's 1533-position model. The record is from RNAcentral.
AAUGAACGCUGGCGGCAUGCCUUACACAUGCAAGUCGAACGGCAGCAUGACCUAGCUUGCUAGUUUGAUGGCGAGUGGCGAACGGGUGAGUCAUGCAUCGGAACGUGCCUUUUUGUGGGGGAUAACGUAGCGAAAGUUACGCUAAUACCGCAUAUUCUCUGAGGAGGAAAGCAGGGGGCCUUCGGGCCUUGCGCUAGAAGGGCGGCCCGUGUCGGCUUCGCUAGUUGGUGGGGUAAAGGCUCACAAAGGCGACGAGCCGUAGCGGGUCUGAGAGGAUGAUGGGCCGCACUGGAACUGAGACACGGCCCAGACUCCUACGGGAGGCAGCAGUGGGGAAUUUUGGACAAUGGGCGCAAGCCUGAUCCAGCCAUGCCGCGUGAGUGAAGGAGGCCUUCGGGUUGUAAAGCUCGUUCGGCGGGGAAGAAAUCGCACCGUCUAAUACGGAGUGUGGAUGACGGUAACAGGAUAAGAAGCACCGGCUAACUACGUG